This 819-nucleotide ribosomal RNA is filed under the name Ptychographa xylographoides. Its description in RNAcentral is "eukaryotic LSU rRNA". It matches the Rfam family "Eukaryotic large subunit ribosomal RNA", at positions 86 to 924 of the family's 3401-position model. The record is from RNAcentral. Lineage: Eukaryota; Fungi; Ascomycota; Lecanoromycetes; Baeomycetales; Xylographaceae.
ACGGCGAGUGAAGCGGCAACAGCUCAAAUUUGAAAUCUGACCUCACGGUCCGAGUUGUAAUUUGCAGAGGAUGUCUCGGGUGCGACGCCGGUCUAAGUUCCUUGGAACAGGACGUCAUAGAGGGUGAGAAUCCCGUACGUGACUGGUGCUCAACCCCAUGUGAGCCUCCUUCGACGAGUCGAGUUGUUUGGGAAUGCAGCUCUAAAUGGGUGGUAAAUUUCAUCUAAAGCUAAAUACUGGCCAGAGACCGAUAGCGCACAAGUAGAGUGAUCGAAAGAUGAAAAGCACUUUGGAAAGAGAGUUAAAAAGUACGUGAAAUUGUUGAAAGGGAAGCGCUUGCAACCAGACUUGCCCGCGAGCCAUCAACCGUCCUUCGGGGCGGUGCACUGACUUGCGAUCAGGCCAGUAUCGGUUCCGGCGACCGGACAAAGGUCCUGGGAAUGUGGCUCUCUUCGGGGAGUGUUAUAGCCCAGUUCGUAAUGCGGUCAGCCGGGACCGAGGACCGCGCUUCGGCUAGGAUACUGGCGUAAUGGUUGUCAGCGACCCGUCUUGAAACACGGACCAAGGAGUCUAACAUCUAUGCGAGUGUUUGGGUGUUAAACCCAUACGCGUAAUGAAAGUGAACGGAGGUGGGAACCCUUUACGGGGCGCACCAUCGACCGAUCCUGAUGUCUUCGGAUGGAUUUGAGUACGAGCAUAGCUGUUGGGACCCGAAAGAUGGUGAACUAUACUUGAAUAGGGUGAAGCCAGAGGAAACUCUGGUGGAGGCUCGCAGCGGUUCUGACGUGCAAAUCGAUCGUCAAAUUUGGGUAUAGGGGC